AGUCUCGCGCGCGGGCGGAGGUGGGCCGGUGCGGCGCUGUCACGUAGGUUCAGUGGGCGGAAGAGGUGGCUCCGGAUGCUGCGGCGCCCGCUGGCCGGGCUGGCUGCGGCCGCCCUGGGCCGGGCCCCACCGGACGAGGCCGCACUGCUAUCCAUAGCCUCUCUUCUCACCCCCAGGCAUGUCGGGCCCCAGGCCUGUGGUGCUGAGCGGGCCUUCGGGAGCUGGGAAGAGCACCCUGCUGAAGAGGCUGCUCCAGGAGCACAGCGGCAUCUUUGGCUUCAGCGUGUCCCAUACCACGAGGAACCCGAGGCCCGGCGAGGAGAACGGCAAAGGGAGGUGAUGCAGCGUGACAUAGCAGCCGGCGACUUCAUCGAGCAUGCCGAGUUCUCGGGGAACCUGUAUGGCACGAGCAAGGUGGCGGUGCAGGCUGUGCAGGCCAUGAACCGCAUCUGUGUGCUGGACGUGGACCUGCAGGGUGUGCGGAACAUCAAGGCCACCGAUCUGCAGCCCAUCUACAUCUCUGUGCAGCCACCUUCACUGCAUGUGCUGGUGUGUGCUGGGCAGGGUUGGGGGCUGGGGGCCAGGGCAUGCCAGGCUCUGAUUGCCACCCCCUUUUUAGGAGCAGCGGCUGCGGCAGCGCAACACUGAAACGGAGGAGAGCCUGGUGAAGCGGCUGGCUGCUGCCCAGGCCGACAUGG
Molecule: small RNA, 698 nt
Filed under: Pan troglodytes (chimpanzee)
Lineage: Eukaryota; Metazoa; Chordata; Mammalia; Primates; Hominidae
Description: processed transcript
Source: RNAcentral